This 253-nucleotide ribosomal RNA is filed under the name uncultured bacterium. Its description in RNAcentral is "partial 16S ribosomal RNA". It matches the Rfam family "Bacterial small subunit ribosomal RNA", at positions 524 to 776 of the family's 1533-position model. The record is from RNAcentral.
UACGGGGGGGGCAAGCGUUGUUCGGAAUUACUGGGCGUAAAGGGCUCGUAGGCGGCCAACUAAGUCAGACGUGAAAUCCCUCGGCUUAACCGGGGAACUGCGUCUGAUACUGGAUGGCUUGAGUUCGGGAGAGGUGAGUGGAACUGCGAGUGUAGAGGUGAAAUUCGUAGAUAUUCGCAAGAACACCAGUGGCGAAGGCGGCUCACUGGCCCGGUACUGACGCUGAGGUGCGAAAGCGUGGGGAGCAAACAGG